Molecule: ribosomal RNA, 1552 nt
Filed under: Staphylococcus aureus
Lineage: Bacteria; Bacillati; Bacillota; Bacilli; Caryophanales; Staphylococcaceae
Description: 16S ribosomal RNA
Rfam family: Bacterial small subunit ribosomal RNA
Source: RNAcentral
UUUAUGGAGAGUUUGAUCCUGGCUCAGGAUGAACGCUGGCGGCGUGCCUAAUACAUGCAAGUCGAGCGAACGGACGAGAAGCUUGCUUCUCUGAUGUUAGCGGCGGACGGGUGAGUAACACGUGGAUAACCUACCUAUAAGACUGGGAUAACUUCGGGAAACCGGAGCUAAUACCGGAUAAUAUUUUGAACCGCAUGGUUCAAAAGUGAAAGACGGUCUUGCUGUCACUUAUAGAUGGAUCCGCGCUGCAUUAGCUAGUUGGUAAGGUAACGGCUUACCAAGGCAACGAUGCAUAGCCGACCUGAGAGGGUGAUCGGCCACACUGGAACUGAGACACGGUCCAGACUCCUACGGGAGGCAGCAGUAGGGAAUCUUCCGCAAUGGGCGAAAGCCUGACGGAGCAACGCCGCGUGAGUGAUGAAGGUCUUCGGAUCGUAAAACUCUGUUAUUAGGGAAGAACAUAUGUGUAAGUAACUGUGCACAUCUUGACGGUACCUAAUCAGAAAGCCACGGCUAACUACGUGCCAGCAGCCGCGGUAAUACGUAGGUGGCAAGCGUUAUCCGGAAUUAUUGGGCGUAAAGCGCGCGUAGGCGGUUUUUUAAGUCUGAUGUGAAAGCCCACGGCUCAACCGUGGAGGGUCAUUGGAAACUGGAAAACUUGAGUGCAGAAGAGGAAAGUGGAAUUCCAUGUGUAGCGGUGAAAUGCGCAGAGAUAUGGAGGAACACCAGUGGCGAAGGCGACUUUCUGGUCUGUAACUGACGCUGAUGUGCGAAAGCGUGGGGAUCAAACAGGAUUAGAUACCCUGGUAGUCCACGCCGUAAACGAUGAGUGCUAAGUGUUAGGGGUUUCCGCCCCUUAGUGCUGCAGCUAACGCAUUAAGCACUCCGCCUGGGGAGUACGACCGCAAGGUUGAAACUCAAAGGAAUUGACGGGGACCCGCACAAGCGGUGGAGCAUGUGGUUUAAUUCGAAGCAACGCGAAGAACCUUACCAAAUCUUGACAUCCUUUGACAACUCUAGAGAUAGAGCCUUCCUCUUCGGGGACAAAGUGACAGGUGGUGCAUGGUUGUCGUCAGCUCGUGUCGUGAGAUGUUGGGUUAAGUCCCGCAACGAGCGCAACCCUUAAGCUUAGUUGCCAUCAUUAAGUUGGGCACUCUAAGUUGACUGCCGGUGACAAACCGGAGGAAGGUGGGGAUGACGUCAAAUCAUCAUGCCCCUUAUGAUUUGGGCUACACACGUGCUACAAUGGACAAUACAAAGGGCAGCGAAACCGCGAGGUCAAGCAAAUCCCAUAAAGUUGUUCUCAGUUCGGAUUGUAGUCUGCAACUCGACUACAUGAAGCUGGAAUCGCUAGUAAUCGUAGAUCAGCAUGCUACGGUGAAUACGUUCCCGGGUCUUGUACACACCGCCCGUCACACCACGAGAGUUUGUAACACCCGAAGCCGGUGGAGUAACCUUUUAGGAGCUAGCCGUCGAAGGUGGGACAAAUGAUUGGGGUGAAGUCGUAACAAGGUAGCCGUAUCGGAAGGUGCGGCUGGAUCACCUCCUUUCU